This 476-nucleotide ribosomal RNA is filed under the name uncultured organism. RNAcentral's name for it is "partial 16S ribosomal RNA". It matches the Rfam family "Bacterial small subunit ribosomal RNA", at positions 334 to 801 of the family's 1533-position model. The record is from RNAcentral.
CACUCCUGCGGGAGGCAGCAGUGGGGAAUUUUGGACAAUGGGCGAAAGCCUGAUCCAGCAAUGCCGCGUGAGUGAAGAAGGCCUUCGGGUUGUAAACCUCUUUUGUCAGGGAAGAAAAGGUGAAAGCUAAUAUCUUUUGCUAAUGACGGUACCUGAAGAAUAAGCACCGGCUAACUACGUGCCAGCAGCCGCGGUAAUACGUAGGGUGCAAGCGUUAAUCGGAAUUACUGGGCGUAAAGCGUGCGCAGGCGGUUUUGUAAGUCUGAUGUGAAAUCCCCGGGCUCAACCUGGGAAUUGCAUUGGAGACUGCAAGGCUAGAAUCUGGCAGAGGGGGGUAGAAUUCCACGUGUAGCAGUGAAAUGCGUAGAUAUGUGGAGGAACACCGAUGGCGAAGGCAGCCCCCUGGGUCAAGAUUGACGCUCAUGCACGAAAGCGUGGGGAGCAAACAGGAUUAGAAACCCGUGUAGUCCCAUGAU